Molecule: ribosomal RNA, 301 nt
Filed under: uncultured bacterium
Lineage: Bacteria
Description: partial 16S ribosomal RNA
Rfam family: Bacterial small subunit ribosomal RNA
Source: RNAcentral
CAGCCGCCGCGGUAAUACGAAGGGGGCUAGCGUUGUUCGGAAUUACUGGGCGUAAAGCGCACGUAGGCGGACAUUUAAGUCAGGGGUGAAAUCCCGGGGCUCAACCCCGGAACUGCCUUUGAUACUGGGUGUCUAGAGUAUGGAAGAGGUGAGUGGAAUUCCGAGUGUAGAGGUGAAAUUCGUAGAUAUUCGGAGGAACACCAGUGGCGAAGGCGGCUCACUGGUCCAUUACUGACGCUGAGGUGCGAAAGCGUGGGGAGCAAACAGGAUUAGAUACCCGAGUAGUCCCUGUCUCUUAUAC